GAUGAACGCUGGCGGCGUGCCUAAUACAUGCAAGUCGAGCGAACAGACGAGGAGCUUGCUCCUCUGACGUUAGCGGCGGACGGGCGAGUAACACGUGGAUAACCUACCUAUAAGACUGGGAUAACUUCGGGAAACCGGAGCUAAUACCGGAUAAUAUAUUGAACCGCAUGGUUCAAUAGUGAAAGACGGUUUUGCUGUCACUUAUAGAUGGAUCCGCGCCGCAUUAGCUAGUUGGUAAGGUAACGGCUUACCAAGGCAACGAUGCGUAGCCGACCUGAGAGGGUGAUCGGCCACACUGGAACUGAAACACGGUCCAGACUCCUACGGGAGGCAGCAGGAGGGAAUCUUCCGCAAUGGGCGAAAGCCUGACGGAGCAACGCCGCGUGAGUGAUGAAGGUCUUCGGAUCGUAAAACUCUGUUAUUAGGGAAGAACAAAUGUGUAAGUAACUAUGCACGUCUUGACGGUACCUAAUCAGAAAGCCACGGCUAACUACGUG
This 497-nucleotide ribosomal RNA is filed under the name uncultured bacterium. Its description in RNAcentral is "partial 16S ribosomal RNA". It matches the Rfam family "Bacterial small subunit ribosomal RNA", at positions 28 to 507 of the family's 1533-position model. The record is from RNAcentral.